UUCUCACCAUCUCAAAAACCACACACUAACCACUACAGCUGAGUUCUUCCUCAUGUUAAAAAAAAUUAGAAGUAUUACUAUAGCUUAUUUGGGCAAUUACUGUUCAAUACUACUUUGUCAACAGUGAUGUGCAACCCAUAAGACUGCAGUGUGCAGAAUUUUAGCUCAAUAAAAUUCUUUCACUACAAAUUUUAAAUAAACAAAAAUACAAGAUGAAUGACAGUACAUAUACAGAACCUCUGAGAUAUCAAGGUAGAAAAAAAAAUUAUUUGCAGGGCGAAAUUGUUCUCUCAAUUUAAUAAUCAGUUCCCUCUUUGACUGAUUGAUUGAUUGAUUGAUUCAAAAGCAAAACAUCAAACAAACAAAUUUUUAAAAAACAUGUAUUAACUAAAGGCUGCAGCUGAUUUCUUUCUAUCCCUGACUAUAGAUUCAUGCAGCAUAGAGUUGUCUCUUGUGUUAAGUGAUUACACUUAAGUGAAAAGUGAAAAAAAACCCUGCGUUUUAUGUCCACUAGCUCAUCACAUUCUUAACACAUCUUCAGCAGUGAUUAAGAUAAUACAUAUGAAUCAGGUGGAUUAUUUCCUCAAAAGUACAUUUUUUCAAUAUCUUUUAGGAGGAGAUACUAGAAGUACUUAGACUAAGGUGAUACCUUCCAAGCAAAGUACAAAUCACACAAAGGAACAAUAUAAAUAAGACUAUAUAACUAUAAAUUUUAUGCCUAUGUCUAUAUGAUGAGAUGUUUUUCUAUAAGCCUCAAACCGAAUGGUUUCAUAAUAGUAAUGAUGAGUUACUGACAGGUAGUAAAAUUUAGACCUCACUAGUCCCCUCACUUUAAUAAUCCAUAUAUGCAACAUACAGUACAUGCCCUGUCAUCAAAACAUAAACUGAUGGGAAAAUGUAAUAACCACAUGUACUUCUGUUUUUACACACAAAGUAGUUGUUCAAUUUGAUUUACUUUACUUUUAUUUGUAUAGCAGUUUUUACAAUAGAGUAGAUCAGAAAGCAAUUUAAUGAAUCCUAAGACCAUACUAGUAUUCAAUACACUGAUGAUAAUGCUAUGAGAUAGUACAGCAAUAAAAUCUUAAGUAAAUUGAAGAGCUAGAGGUCUGAAAAUUAAAGAUACAAAGGUUUUACAGUUUUUUACAUCCACUUGUCAAGUCUCAGCUCUCCCAAAGUAUAGUGUACUUCAGAGUAUAGUGCCAAAGUCAAACAAAUUUCAGAUCAAGGCCAAGAAAGAGAGGUGUGGCAGAAGAGUUUGAAACCAAAUGCCUCUAGAGGUCACACUUCACCAGAGCUGCUGUUAUUACUACAUGGUGUGCAUUACAGAGGGCAAAGAUUAUGACUGGCAUUAUACUAUUAAUUCUGUUUUUACCUGCUGGCUUCAGUGUAAGACAGUCUCCUGAUCUUUCUGCUUAUGAGGGUCAGAAUGUGACUCUUCAGUGUACUCAGAUUGAUACCACCUUUAAUGGCAUGUACUGGUUCAGAAAGAGACCUUCUCAAUCCCUGGAGCCCAUUGUAUUCUACUAUGUUAACACAGGCACAACUGAAGAUAAAUUUAAGCAGAAAGUUUCUGCGAUAAGGAAAGGCAACUCUCUGGAUCUAACUGUGAAGGAGCUGAAGAGCACAGACAGUGCCGUCUACUUCUGUGCAAAACAGGAUGCACAGCAUGACAACCUAAUCUUUAACCUGAACAAGAACUGCACCACUGCCACAACAAACACGUACUCAACACCUGUUAACUGUAGCACACCAACCAAGUACUCAUGACCAAAAUACACAAGAGACAGAUAUAUCGAUGGGUGGUGAAGUCACUUCCUGUCAUCUGGAUUUUAUAAGCAAGUGUUGGUUUGCUCUCUAUCAAUGACAGGAAACAAAUCAGCAUAAUGAUUCUGCUCUUUUUAUCUCAAAUCAUGCUGGCUGGUAAGUGUCUAUAGCUCUCCCUUGCUAUUUCUGUCUAUAAUUUAUUAAUUUCAUUUUUGUCUCACAGCCAUGUUGAAUUCUUGAUUCUGACUGGUCAGAAGGCUUUGAUUAAUUUUCCAUAACAGCACCUCUGUAGUAAAUCACAGGUUUACAGUCAGGUCCAUAAAUAUUGGGACAGUGACACAG
Pangasianodon hypophthalmus (striped catfish) is the source of this 2106-nucleotide non-coding RNA. NCBI's taxonomy places the organism in Eukaryota, Metazoa, Chordata, Actinopteri, Siluriformes, Pangasiidae. The record is from the annotation of a RefSeq genome assembly.